This 467-nucleotide ribosomal RNA is filed under the name uncultured bacterium. Its description in RNAcentral is "partial 16S ribosomal RNA". It matches the Rfam family "Bacterial small subunit ribosomal RNA", at positions 29 to 507 of the family's 1533-position model. The record is from RNAcentral.
ACGAACGCUGGCGGCGUGCUUCACACAUGCAGGUCGAACGGAAAGGCCCUGCUUUUGUGGGGUGCUCGAGUGGCGAACGGGUGAGUAACACGUGAGUAACCUGCCCUUGACUUUGGGAUAACUUCAGGAAACUGGGGCUAAUACCGGAUAGGAGCUCCUGCUGCAUGGUGGGGGUUGGAAAGUUUCGGCGGUUGGGGAUGGACUCGCGGCUUAUCAGCUUGUUGGUGGGGUAGUGGCUUACCAAGGCUUUGACGGGUAGCCGGCCUGAGAGGGUGACCGGCCACAUUGGGACUGAGAUACGGCCCAGACUCCUACGGGAGGCAGCAGUGGGGAAUAUUGCACAAUGGGCGGAAGCCUGAUGCAGCAACGCCGCGUGCGGGAUGACGGCCUUCGGGUUGUAAACCGCUUUCGCCUGUGACGAAGCGUGAGUGACGGUAAUGGGUAAAGAAGCACCGGCUAACUACGUG